AGCAGCCGCGGUAAUUCCAGCUCCAAUAGCGUAUAUUAAAGUUGUUGCAGUUAAAAAGCUCGUAGUUGAAUUUCGGGGUCUGUCCGUCGGUCGGGCUUCACAGUCCGUACUGGUGUGAUGGGUUCCUACCUUCUGAAUAACCGGCAUGCCAUUCAGUUGGUGCGCCGGGGAAGCAGAGCUAUUACCUUGAAAAAUUAGAGUGACUUAAAGCAGGCUAGUGCUUGAAUAGAUUAGCAUGGAAUAAUAAAAUAGGACGGCAUGGUUCUAUUUUGUGGUUUUUAGGAUUACCGUAAUGAUUAAUAGGGAUAGUUGGGGGCAUUAGUAUUCAAUUGUCAGAGGUGAAAUUCUUGGAUUUAUUGAAGACUAACUUCUAGCGAAAGCAUUUGCCAAGGAUGUUUUCAUUAAUCAAGAACGAAAGUUAGGGGAUCGAAGACGAUCAGAUACCGUCGUAGUCUUAACCAUAAACUAUGACCGACUAGGGAUCGGACGAUGUUAAUUUUAAUGACUCGUUCGGCGUCCU
Molecule: unclassified non-coding RNA, 520 nt
Filed under: uncultured Acaulospora
Lineage: Eukaryota; Fungi; Glomeromycota; Glomeromycetes; Diversisporales; Acaulosporaceae
Description: SSU rRNA
Rfam family: Eukaryotic small subunit ribosomal RNA
Source: RNAcentral